UCAUAUGAAUCAGAGUGAGACCUCUGUUGCCGUUUUCUUUGGUGUGUGUUGCCUCCGGAGCAGCAGGUGGCGCUGGUGUCGUCAGUUGAACCCCGGAAGUAGCAGCGGUGACUUCGGUGUAAACAAGUUUCUGUGGAUUCAAUCUGGACCGAAGCAGAAGAUGGAGACGUCCGGCAGAAGAACCGUGGACAGGAUCCACUCCGCGGUCCUGCUGGCGGUUGUGGUCUUGUCCUGGUCUUAUGUCAUCUACGCCAGCAGGAUUGCAGCUCAUUGGCUGCUGGAGAAGCGGACCGCCGUCCUCCGACAAGACUGAUGGUGCACUGGACCCUCGCCACGUCAACGUCGCUGAUGAGGAUCAACCCUGAAUUUCUCGCACAAGUUGCAGGGAGAGACGCAGAUGAGGACGUCAGCUUGGAGAGACGAGGAGAUUCCAGAGCUUUUGGUGAUAAGGGCCGACACUGGUGUGGAUGUCCGGCCUCCUGCUGCUCUACAGGCUCCACCCCCCGCCUGAAUGUUCCGAACAUUUCCCUGUUGGUGUGAACGAGUCUGACCCGAACGAUCUCCUGCUGCUUCUGCACACGAGAAACACAAACUCCAGAAAACGUCCAGACACCAUUUUACAGGGUUCGUGUCUGAAGACGGCUCAUCUUCACCCAUCUUUAAAAUGUAUUUUAUCUUUUAAAUGUAUUUUAAGAUGCUUUACUGUCAGUGUCUUUAUCUGUUUGGGAGGUUAUGUUGUCAUUCCUGUUUGUUUGUUUGUUUGUUUGUUUGUUUGUUUGUCAGCAGGAUGAUCAGAUUACCAGUCAACAUGGUGGAAGGAUGUUUUAUGGGUCAGACAAGAACUCAUUACACAGUAGAUUUUUCCUCUCUGUUUUUGUGAGAUAGAAAGUUUUUCAACGUUUUCACUGAUUUCUCAGAGAACAAUUCAUGGAUUUGAUUAAAUUAAUCAGACAUGUUUAGAGAACUGAUAUUUAUGAGUGUGUGUGUGAUUUGGAGCAGCUUGAUUGAAUUUAAAGACUGUUGAAUGAGCUCGACUGAAUGUUUUGUCUUAUUUCAGCUCAUCAGAUUUUUGUGACCUGCACUGAACUGAUGUUGACACCACAGAACUUUACAAGCUAAUCGUUCGUGCUAUGCUAACCAUCCUCUGUGUGUAUCUUCGAUCUGAACAUCAAGCUCCUGACGAGACAGAAAUGUUUCCUGUUCUUAAAUGAAUUAGAAAUGUAUUAAACAGGAGGAGUACUUAAUGUUACUUAAUAUUAUGUCCUAUUUUUGUUUAUAAUUCUUAUUCAUAUUUAACAUUCAGUUUUUUAUCAGUUAGAAAAGCUUCAGUUUCAUCCAGUGUGAUUUAAAUCAGUGUUUCCAGUCAUGAAGGUGGUGAUGAUCAGAAACACAUCAGCUCAUUGUAACUGUUUGUGUGUGUGUGUUUGUCUGAUGUAUUCGUUAAUUAAAGCCUCUGACACACACACACACAUUUUAUAACGAUGUGUUUGAUGUGUGUGUCCUCAGAUAUGUAAAUGCACGCUGCAGAAUGGAUGAUGAGAGAGUGGGCGAGUGCGCUAAAGCUUGAAUGAGAGAGGUGAGAGAGAGAGAGAAGAGAGGCUCUUGAGGUGAGUACUCAUUCUAUUACCACAAACACUUCAAACACACACACUCCCUGUUGCCUGUAAUUAAAAACCUGCUUAUCGUUGCUGCCUCUGCGAUCGGGCCCCGACAUUUUUCUCAGGCUGGGAUACCCGGAUAAAAACAGUCUGGUAAAGAGGUUGUGUGAAAAUGUUGAAUAAAACCAAUCUUCUGACUAUAA
Paralichthys olivaceus (Japanese flounder) is the source of this 1801-nucleotide non-coding RNA. Lineage: Eukaryota; Metazoa; Chordata; Actinopteri; Pleuronectiformes; Paralichthyidae. The record is from RefSeq and is a predicted model, not a curated record.